This 1284-nucleotide ribosomal RNA is filed under the name uncultured archaeon. RNAcentral's name for it is "16S ribosomal RNA". It matches the Rfam family "Archaeal small subunit ribosomal RNA", at positions 103 to 1385 of the family's 1478-position model. The record is from RNAcentral.
GUUAACCUACCCCCGAGUUGGGGACAACCACGGGAAACUGUGGAUAAUCCCCAAUAGGUGAGAAUCACUGGAAUGUUUUCUCACCCAAAGCUCAGGCGCUCGAGGAUGGGACUGCGGCCUAUCAGGCUGUUGGUGGUGUAACGGGCCACCAAACCGACAACGGGUACGGGCGAUGGGAGUCGGAGCCCGGAGAUGGGGACUGAGACAAGGCCCCAGGCCCUACGGGGCGCAGCAGGCGCGAAAACUCCGCAAUAUGCGCAAGCGUGACGGGGGAAUCCCAAGUGCCGAUGGUCUUUGAUCGUCGGCUUUUCGGGAGUGUAAGGAGCUCCCGGAAUAAGGGCUGGGUAAGACUGGUGCCAGCCGCCGCGGUAAUACCAGCAGCCCGAGUGGUGGCCGGGUUUAUUGGGCCUAAAGCGCUCGUAGCCGGGUUGAUAAGUCCUUUGUGAAAUCGGACGGCUCAACCGUUCGGCUUGCAAGGGAUACUAUCGAUCUCGAGGCCGAGAAAAAGUCGGGAGUACUUUGGGGGGUAGUAGUGAAAUGCUGUAAUCCUCAAAGAACUACCAGUGGCGAAGGCGCCCGACUGGAGCGGACCUGACGGUGAGGGGCGAAAGCUUGGGGAGCGAACGGGAUUAGAUACCCCGGUAGUCCAAGGCCGUAAAGCAUGCGGGUCAGGUGUUUGGCAUCCUUCGAGGGUGUCAAGUGCCGAAGGGAAGCCGUUAAGCCCGCCGCCUGGGAAGUACAGUCGCAAGGCCGAAACUUAAAGAAAUAUGGCGGGGGAGCACCACAAGGGGUGGAGCCUGCGGUUUAAUUCGGAUUCAACGCCGGACAACUCACCGGGGGCGACAGCUGGUUGAAGGCCAGGUUGACGACCUUGCUGGACUAGCUUGAGAGGUGGUGCAUGGCCGUCGUCAGCUCGUACCGUGAGGCGUCCUGUUAAGUCAGGCAACGAGCGAGACCCUCACCCUUAGUUGCUAUAUCUUCCGAUAUGUGCACUCUAAGGGGACCGCUGGUGCUAAACCAGAGGAAGGGGAGGGCGACGAUAGGUCCGUAUGCCCCGAAUCCCCCGGGCUACACGCGGGCUACAAUGCGCUGGACAGUUGGAUGCAACCCCGUGAGGGGAAGCUAAACCUUAAACCUGCGCUUAGUUCGGAUCGAGGGCUGCAACUUGCCCUCGUGAAGCUGGAAUCCCUAGUAAUCGCGUGCCAACAUCGCGCGGKGAAUACGUCCCUGCUUCUUGCACACACCGCCCGUCAAGCCAUCCGAGUGGAGUUUUGGAUGAGGCCG